UACGUAGGUGGCAAGCGUUGUCCGGAUUUACUGGGCGUAAAGAGCGCGCAGGCGGUCGUGCAAGUCGCGUGUGAAAGCCCCUGGCUCAACUGGGGAGGGUCACGCGAUACUGCUCGACUCGAAGGCAGGAGAGGGAAGUGGAAUUCCCGGUGUAGUGGUGAAAUGCGUAGAUAUCGGGAGGAACACCAGUGGCGAAGGCGACUUCCUGGCCUGUUCUUGACGCUGAGGCGCGAAAGCUAGGGUAGCAAACGGG
Molecule: ribosomal RNA, 253 nt
Filed under: uncultured bacterium
Lineage: Bacteria
Description: partial 16S ribosomal RNA
Rfam family: Bacterial small subunit ribosomal RNA
Source: RNAcentral